ACCGGCUGGACGGUAGGCAUA
RNAcentral lists this microRNA (21 nucleotides) under Hordeum vulgare. RNAcentral's name for it is "hvu-miR5052". The record is from miRBase by way of RNAcentral. Lineage: Eukaryota; Viridiplantae; Streptophyta; Magnoliopsida; Poales; Poaceae.